This 274-nucleotide ribosomal RNA is filed under the name uncultured bacterium. RNAcentral's name for it is "partial 16S ribosomal RNA". It matches the Rfam family "Bacterial small subunit ribosomal RNA", at positions 523 to 796 of the family's 1533-position model. The record is from RNAcentral.
AUACAGAGGGUGCGAGCGUUAAUCGGAAUUACUGGGCGUAAAGCGCGCGUAGGCGGUUAUUUAAGUCAGAUGUGAAAUCCCUGGGCUCAACCUAGGAACUGCAUCUGAAACUGGGUAACUAGAGUUUAGGAGAGGGGAGUAGAAUUUCGGGUGUAGCGGUGAAAUGCAUAGAGAUCUGAAGGAAUACCAGUGGCGAAGGCGACUCCCUGGCCUAGAACUGACGCUGAGGUGCGAAAGCGUGGGUAGCAAACGGGAUUAGAUACCCUAGUAGUCC